UUGAUAUCUUACAGAGAACAUAAAGUUCAGAACAAAGAUUAUGUCUUUUAGGUCAGGUCACUGUUUAAAACUCACAAUCAGUGUGACAUUUUUACAUAGCUUCUGUUUCUUUGUAAAGCACUGCCUCAUAAAGCUCAUUGUGAAGAAUGCCUACACCUGCGUUACACAACACCAUCUCAUGGAUGAACAAGGGUGGGUAAAGCAGGUCUACAUCCAGCGCACCCUUAUCUUCUGUAACAAAGCUGCUGAAGAGGAUUAUGCUGCUGUUGCCUCAGAAACUUAGUCACCAGUGGAAAGAGAGCACAGAGAGGGGUGGGGAGUCCACGCAGAGAGUAGAAACAGACAGGCAGGCGAUACUACUGCUACAACCCUUCACACACACACAGCACCAGCUUUUUCUUUCUUUCUUUCUUUUUUUUAGGCUGACACAGAUUUUUUCUAAAACCUGCCACCAUGUGGCACCCUUUGAUUAUCGGCAUCAUGACAGUGAACACCUCUCUAACCGUCUUCUACUGGGCCUUCAUCCUGGGCGAUGCUUACUACAAGUGGCUGAUGGAGCCAGAAGACAAGCCCAAGAAGGUGGUCACCCCAGCUUGAGGGAGCCAGUAUGGAUCUACCUGAAUGAGUGACUGGAUGUUAUUUGCUUAGGAAUACUCUGCUCAGCUAGUAGUGCUUACAGUGAAUUUCUGCUUCUUUUUUUAUGUAUUCUUUUUUUUUUUUUAACUGGAAAAGCCUUGGAUUCCUGUUUUGAACUGAAAAAAUAACCUAAAGCAAUCUGCAAGUUGAUGAGAAGAAUCAUUCUUACAGGUAAAGUGUCAAUUUAUCUUAAUAUUUAUUUCGCAUCAUUUUAUUGUGUUUUAGCUACAUUUGUUGCUUGCAGUGUGAAUCAACACACACAUACACACUUCACACACCAUCCGCAGGCAACAGGUCCUUCAGGUGACACUAAAUGAACCGUUUAAGCUUUCUGCUGACUCGGUGAAAAGGUUUUGUUGGUGACAGUGGCAUGAGUCAAGCAAAUCCUGUUAGGAUUACUAAACUACUAAACACCACCUCUAAACUGGCACAGUUGGUGUUACUUUCGUAACAGCUUCAUCCUGAGACACAUUCAGAAACCCUCGUCUCAUCUCUCGUUUGCAUCUCUCCUGAAAGCUUAUUUUUCACUCUUCCUCCUUUUCCUUUUUCUCUCUAUUUUAUUUUAUUUUUUACAUCUCUCCACAACAUGUCGCACGUCUUCUACUGGGGUAUGCACCCAGUCUCUUGGUUCAUUCUUUUCGCCAAUAUAGCCGUAACGGUCAUUGAAUGGAAGUUUCUUGCCUCUCAGUUUUACAAACUUAACUGGAAAAAGGAAGAACAACAAGCCAAUGCCUAAAAUCCUGGUGGAAACCACAUCCACAUCCUGAUGCUGCACUGAGAAUAUUUAGCUGCUUCUGUACAGUUCACCCCAGAAUUCAAAAACAAAAAACCAGAGGAAUCGUCUCAACUCUUUGCUGCAGUUUCCUUCAUGUUCACCCUCUGGUUUGUGGAUAGGAUAACCUUCCCAGUGGUGUCUGUUAUUCUUUUAAGACUGGAUAUUUGGCCCCAAACCAGUGGAGGAUGAUUCAGAGGGAGGGGAUGCAGAAAUAGAGGAAGAGAGGCGACUCAGCGUUUCCAGCAAGCUGUUGGAGAAAGAUGAGAUCAGAAUGGAGGAAGAAAAAGAAGGCCAGCUGCCUGGUUUCCACCAGGGAGACGCAGGCCGCUGUCGUCCAUCCACCCCUCCGCUGAGAAGCGCCAUUGCUUCGUCAUACCCUGGAGAAAAAAGGAUUUCCACACAUAGCGUGACCUUCGCCUGCCCCGUGGCCCCUUACGUCACUUCCCUUUGAGUUUUUUCAUCACAGCAGUUUUUAUUACGUCUUAAUCACAGUGCAGUGAUCAGUGAUGUCCUCGCUGUAGUGAUGCAGAGGCUGAGGCACUCUUGUUUUAUGCUGGUGUUAUAGUUAGCGUGCAAAAAAUGUACAAGAAAAUGUUGUUAGUAAGCACGAUCCAUACUGUCAGUCUGUUUCUACUGCACCAUGCUGAAAUUCGCUGUCCAGCUGCUCGUGGUAAAAACUGUAAACAAAUUAAGUUUCAAGUAAAAAUAUCAGUUAUGUUAAUAACUUAACUUUACAUCUAAAAAUGUUCAUUGGAAACACACUGUGUCCAGUUCGUCCACAAGGCUAGACAGAAAGUGUUGUGAAAUUGCAAAAUCAAAAAGACUUGUCAUGUUACAUGUGCUUGUAAUGUGUUUCUAAAGAAAACGUACAUCACUUCUCCUGGUGUUGGACUAAGCUUCUCCCCAAUAAACAACUCGAUAAUACACGCUCGUUCCUCCUGUCUUGUCUGCUUUCAUUAAUCCAUCUUACCUUCUCCUAAUACCUGCUUGUGCCCAGGGUGAUGACC
Astatotilapia calliptera (eastern happy) is the source of this 2418-nucleotide long non-coding RNA. NCBI's taxonomy places the organism in Eukaryota, Metazoa, Chordata, Actinopteri, Cichliformes, Cichlidae. The record is from Ensembl.